CGACUGCGGAGGACAUUAACGAGUCUGAACCGGGAGCCUGUUGCUGGUGCGGAGACGCACAUGUGCACGGCUUUCGUGCUCAAUCCACUCAACCCCUGUGCACCUUUGCGAAGCCAGUAGCCUUUUUUCUCUCUUUAUUCAGCUGUAUGGGAGCUUGCCUUGUUGCGGGUUCCACUUGGCUUGGAGGGAGGAGGGAGGCGAACGCUUUGAUUUUUAUUACAAACCCAUUAUAUGUCUUGUGGAAUGCAAUGCUCCUUGUGGGCGAAAUGAAAUACAACUUUCAACAACGGAUCUCUUGGCUCUCGCAUCGAUGAAGAACGCAGCGAAAUGCGAUAAGUAAUGUGAAUUGCAGAAUUCAGUGAAUCAUCGAAUCUUUGAACGCACCUUGCGCCCCUUGGUAUUCCGAGGGGCAUGCCUGUUUGAGUGUCAUGUUAAUCUCAAACCACGAGUCUUUCUUAAUGGAGGGACUCGUCCGGUUUGGACUUGGAGGAUUACUGCUGGCUCCCUUUGUAGUCGGCUCCUCUGAAAUGCAUUAGCUGGACUUUGGUUCGCAUUUACGGUGUAAUAGUAAUAAACUUGUUCGCCGGGGUGCUUGCCUAAGGAGUCUGCUUCUAAUCGCCCGUUAUUUAAAGGGCAAGGUCCUCGGUUGACCUUCUGAACACUUGACCUCAAAUCAGGUAGACAG
Molecule: ribosomal RNA, 685 nt
Filed under: Rajchenbergia tenuissima
Lineage: Eukaryota; Fungi; Basidiomycota; Agaricomycetes; Hymenochaetales; Hymenochaetaceae
Description: eukaryotic LSU rRNA
Rfam family: 5.8S ribosomal RNA (bases 276-429)
Source: RNAcentral